CAGCAGCCGCGGGAAUACGGAGGGUGCAAGCGUUAAUCGGAAUUACUGGGCGUAAAGCGCACGCAGGCGGUUUGUUAAGUCAGAUGUGAAAUCCCCGAGCUUAACUUGGGAACUGCAUUUGAAACUGGCGAGCUAGAGUCUUGUAGAGGGGGGUAGAAUUCCAGGUGUAGCGGUGAAAUGCGUAGAGAUCUGGAGGAAUACCGGUGGCGAAGGCGGCCCCCUGGACAAAGACUGACGCUCAGGUGCGAAAGCGUGGGGAGCAAACAGGAUUAGAUACCCCAGUAGUCCCUGUCUCUUAUAC
RNAcentral lists this ribosomal RNA (301 nucleotides) under uncultured bacterium. RNAcentral's name for it is "partial 16S ribosomal RNA". It matches the Rfam family "Bacterial small subunit ribosomal RNA", at positions 509 to 807 of the family's 1533-position model. The record is from RNAcentral.